Molecule: non-coding RNA, 3298 nt
Organism: Pelodiscus sinensis (Chinese soft-shelled turtle)
Lineage: Eukaryota; Metazoa; Chordata; Testudines; Trionychidae
Source: RefSeq, a predicted model, not a curated record
CCGGUGCUCGGGGCAGCACUGCUGACGUGUGUUUGUUAACAGCGGUUUGGUCCGGCAGGCACUUCGGCACGUGCGCAGCUUUCAGCCUGUGCGGAGCCGUCCCAGCGACUCGGCAAGGCCGCGCCCAUGUCUGAGUGACACUCGCAGGCACCGUGCUUGCAGCCGCCAGCCCGAGAGUGUUAGAGACACGGGGGUGAAACCUCACUCUCCAGCCCACCCUCGGGCACAGUGCCCUGGCUUAGAGACACCAAUUAGUGGCCAUGUGUAGGAUCCAUGGAUCUUCAGAGAUGUGUUGUGUUGUGGGGAAUGGCGUGGGUUCAAUAAAAAUGGGGUUGCCUCCUUAGCCACCUUGUCUCUCUAAAGUUACACGUGCUUUUCCCGUGCUUUCAAUUUAUUUAGUUAUUUUAUUAGAAAUGAGCUCGAACCCACCUCCAGCUCUAAAGCAUCCAUUGGCCUGCUAAACCCAGGGUUCUGAGUUCAAUCCUUGAGGAGGCCGUCUAGGGAUUUGGGGCAAAAAUUUGUCAGGGAUGGUACUUGCUCCUGCUGUGAAGGCAGGGGACUGGACUCCAUGACCUUUCAAGGUCCCUUCCAGUUCUAGGAGAUAGGCAAUCUCCAUUAAUUAUUAUUAUUAUAGAAAGAUGGGGAGAGCUCAGAUACGCAGCUGCACUUCCCUAUUAUUAUUUUCUGUUUUCGUUUGCGUUGUGAAAGUUGUGAAACACACGGGGUUUAUUUUUUAAAACAUGCUAAUUUCUCAAUAGGGAGCUGGACAAGUCCUGACCAAGAUGAAUACAGUAGUUCUACAGCACCAGCUGGCAUUUUUCAAAUAAGAGAAUAUGAAAUGAAAAAUAAUUUAACUGAAUUAAAAUGUGAAACGUAAAACGCUGCACCCAUUAGAUUGCUUUAGUUGGUUUGUAAUAUGGGCAGUGGUAAAUAUUUGUGACAACUUUUAUUUUGAAGGUGGAGAUUAUUUAAAAUUUUUGUUUCCCCAUUGGAGGACUUCAUAUAGCAAACAGAUGUUUAGUGUUUUUUAAAAAUUUUAGAAGUACAAGGUUGAUGCAUCACAGUAUAAACUGUGUUCUAUUAAAUGUAGAAUAAGCCUAAUAAUUUUUCAUUCAUCUUCUCCCUCCAAACUUUUGCUGCCAAUUUGAGAUUUCAGUGAUUGCUCUUUAUUUCCUUACCCAAAACCUCUCUUUCCAGCUGUGACUACCUUCAGCAGCAGAAAUCUCAGCCUAUGUGUACAAUAAAUUGGCUUCCAUUCUGCAACAUACAUUAAUGCUACCUGUUCUUCAUGUAUAUUCUGGAGAUCAAAGGAAUACAUAACAAUAAAUCCCCCUUAAUGCCCCAUAACCAGUAUGUACAAGGCAUUAUGUACAAGGCACAGUAUCUGUUUUGAAAUAAAAACACUCUUAAGUGUGUCCUCUCUGUAACAGUGCUUGCAAUGGACAGGCACAUCUACAAACACCCCAGCAUGCAGAUGUAUGGAUGAGAAGUGUGGUAGUAGUUACUUUGAGAUGCAUGAGCUUUAUUUUUACACAUUUAAGGUUUGUUGACCACUAAUUUCUUGUGUCCUAUGCCAGUGUUCUUUUUCAGUCCUACAUAUACCCAUAUCAAAUUGAAGGUAGACUGGUAAUUGCUCUUGUCUCCAGAACCUUCUUUGCUGACAGCUACUAAGAAUAAAAAACUCCUGUUAAAAUGGUUUUCCUUAUCUUAUCCCAAGAUCCUACCUUAUGGUAAUCUUGCCACUCCAGCAUUGGUCUUUCUCUCAUUUCCUGAUGAUCUGGAUCAGAGGUAUUUGAUGUGGAUGUGUGUGCCAAGGGACUGAUGACUGUCCUCCAGAUGCUAUUUGUCAAAACAUUCCAAAGCUAUACAAGUGCAUGUGCAAGCUAGGUUACAGUGGUGAAGGGAAAAUGUGUGAAGGUAAAUUGACAGCAGUACUCCAUGCUAUUUGGCCAUAGCAUGUGUGCCAGAGACUGUACUAUCACCAGUUCCUGUUUAAUUCAUAGGUAGGACUGCAAAAAGGGUUCUAUGAGAAUAUUUGUGAUAAGCUGUUGACUCCUUAUGUCAUAUAUGUAGGCCAGGAACUUGCUAAAUUAAAAACUUAAUUAUAUAUUUGUGUAUGAUUUAACCCCCCCGCCCUGCCAAUCUUAAAAAGACAACAAAUGCAGCCAUUAUUUCUGUCCAGCUCCUUAGAUUUACUUUGGCUACAGAGUUAUGGAAGUUACCUUUUUGAAAAGCACUGACAUGGAAGAGGAGAAGAAAGUGCCUUAUUUCUACUAUGAGUUUGUCUAGCUUCAACUUCUUCUUGUACUUUAUUUGCUCGUGUGAAGAGCCCUACACAUUGGUUAGGAGUGUGCAGGGUACAGGCAGUCGCAGCUCCCGAAUCUGGUCCACCAGGGUUAAUUCCUGGUGGGCCCCCACCUCUCUGUUUAGUUGCAUGGCUGCUGGUACCAGUGAUUUUAGUGCCUCUCAAAAAGUCCAGAAUGUGUUUUAGGAUUGGUCUUUUGUACCCUAAAAUGAGAAAAGUCAACCAGGGCCCAUCAGAUGACACAAGGGUUGGCAGAGUGCACUUGCUGUAGGCUAAUGUCAAAUUUUUAAUUUAACACUAGCCACAUGUAAGCUAUAUUUGCGCGUGUACUAAUAAAUGUUCUAAUUGCCAAAAACUUCAGUGAGCAUGGUAGAUGGUGAGUGUCUUGGAAAAUCAGGCUACUGAUUUAGGUAUGUGAAUAUAGAUUUAGGGGGCCUUUUUUAGGGACUGGGGCGCCGCGGGAGACAGGCGCCGAAACGCUUGAGCAGCUCUGCCACGCUUGUUCGGCGGCAGCUGCCGGCGUAGGCGGGGGCAGGGCGGCGGGGAUCGCAAGCCCCAACCCUGCGCCCUGCGCCAGGGGCGCCGUGGGAAAUCGCUGCGGGGAUGCCCGAGCGGCUCUAAUGCGCCGGCCCAGGGACGGCGGCCGGCGCAGGCGCAGGAGUCUUCGCCCGGAGGGGCUGUCCACGCACACACCCGGCCCCUCCCGCAGGGCGCAGGCGCCGGCAUCCCUGAGCAGGGGCGCCAGGUUUAAAAGCCGGGCGGCCAGGACACAAAGGGAGAGGAUCAAAGGGACGGAGCCCCGGCAAGCGGGGCGCGGAGACUCGCGCCAGACGGCGGCGGGGCGGCAGGACUGUUGCACGGACCAAGACCGAUGACCGAGCGCCCUAGGACUGGAGUGGAAACAUGCGCUGUAAAUAACGGUGGCUGUGACCGCACUGGAGUUCACUGCAGCUGUCCUGUUGGAUUUACACUCCAGUCUGAUGGGAAGACGUG